This 294-nucleotide unclassified non-coding RNA is filed under the name Coniochaeta sp. RNAcentral's name for it is "partial contains 5.8S ribosomal RNA, internal transcribed spacer 2, and large subunit ribosomal RNA". The stretch from base 1 to 71 matches the Rfam family "5.8S ribosomal RNA", at positions 84 to 154 of the family's 154-position model. Lineage: Eukaryota; Fungi; Ascomycota; Sordariomycetes; Coniochaetales; Coniochaetaceae. The record is from RNAcentral.
GUGAAUCAUCGAAUCUUUGAACGCACAUUGCGCCCGCUAGUAUUCUAGCGGGCAUGCCUGUUCGAGCGUCAUUUCAACCCUCAAGCCCUGCUUGGUGUUGGGGCCCCUACGAAGGUCGUAGGCCCUGAAAGGAAGUGGCGGGCUCGCUGCAACUCCGAGCGUAGUAGAAUCCUAUUCUCGCUAGGGAGGCUUGCGGCGCGGCUCCGGCCGUUAAAGACCCAAUCUUUAACCCAAGGUUGACCUCGGAUCAGGUAGGAAUACCCGCUGAACUUAAGCAUAUCAAUAAGCGGAGGA